GCCAUGGCUCAGUGGUAGAUCAUCUGCUUAACAUGCAGAAAGUCCCAGGUUUAAUCCCUGGUAACUCUA
RNAcentral lists this transfer RNA (69 nucleotides) under Sphaerodactylus townsendi. RNAcentral describes it as "tRNA-Val". It matches the Rfam family "tRNA". Rfam says of the family: Transfer RNA (tRNA) molecules are approximately 80 nucleotides in length. Their secondary structure includes four short double-helical elements and three loops (D, anti-codon, and T loops). The record is from RNAcentral. Lineage: Eukaryota; Metazoa; Chordata; Lepidosauria; Squamata; Sphaerodactylidae.